Long non-coding RNA from Gorilla gorilla gorilla (western lowland gorilla), 461 nucleotides. RefSeq lists it as uncharacterized. The record is from RefSeq and is a predicted model, not a curated record. Lineage: Eukaryota; Metazoa; Chordata; Mammalia; Primates; Hominidae. The transcript is spliced from 3 exons.
GGAGGCUGUUCACCCCUGUUUAAACAGAGAACCACAGACAGAGGACAUUCAUUCAUGGCUGACUACUUUUGGAAGAUAUACUCUCUUUUCAAGUCCCCACAGCCUUCAGAAAGCAUGAAAUUGGCAAUAAUUUCUUGGCUAUAAUACCAAAAGCAUAGGAUGCAAAAGAAAACUUAGAUAAACUUGACUACAUCAAAAUUAAAAACCACUGUGCAUCAAAGGGCACAAUUAAUGGAGUGACAGUGUGGAUAAACAACCCAUGGAAUGGAAAAAAAAUAUCAAAUCAUAUAUCCGACAAAAGAUCAAUAUCCAGAACAUAUAAAGAACUCUUACAACGCAGCAGAAAAAAAAGACAACCCAGGCCAGGCGCGGUGGCUCACAUCUGUAAUCCCAGGACUUUGGAGGCCGAGAACUCUGUACUGUGAGGUGAACCUGGCAUGGUGAGAGAAGAAUUACUGGGC